UGGGGAAUAUUGCACAAUGGUGGAAACCCUGAUGCAGCGACGCCGCGUGAACGAAGAAGGUAUUCGUAUCGUAAAGUUCUGUCCUAUGGGAAGAUAAUGACAGUACCAUAGAAGAAAGCUCCGGCUAAAUACGUGCCAGCAGCCGCGGUAAUACGUAUGGAGCGAGCGUUGUCCGGAAUUAUUGGGCGUAAAGGGUACGCAGGCGGUUUAAUAAGUCGAAUGUUAAAGAUCGGGGCUCAACCCCGCAAAGCAUUGGAAACUGAUAAACUUGAGUAGUGGAGAGGAAAGUGGAAUUCCUAGUGUAGUGGUGAAAUACGUAGAUAUUAGGAGGAAUACCAGUAGCGAAGGCGACUUUCUGGACACAAACUGACGCUGAGGUACGAAAGCGUGGGGAGCAAACAGG
Molecule: ribosomal RNA, 403 nt
Filed under: bacterium
Lineage: Bacteria
Description: partial 16S ribosomal RNA
Rfam family: Bacterial small subunit ribosomal RNA
Source: RNAcentral